RNAcentral lists this ribosomal RNA (270 nucleotides) under uncultured Sordariaceae. RNAcentral's name for it is "partial 18S ribosomal RNA". It matches the Rfam family "Eukaryotic small subunit ribosomal RNA", at positions 215 to 485 of the family's 1831-position model. The record is from RNAcentral. Lineage: Eukaryota; Fungi; Ascomycota; Sordariomycetes; Sordariales.
UCAAGAACCAAUGCCCCUCGGGGCUGCCCGGUGAUUCAUGAUAACUAGUCGAAUCGCACGGCCUUGCGCCGGCGAUGGUUCAUGCAAAUUUCUGCCCUAUCAACUUUCGACGGCUGGGUCUUGGCCAGCCGUGGUGACAACGGGUAACGGAGGGUUAGGGCUCGACCCCGGAGAAGGAGCCUGAGAGACGGCUACUACAUCCAAGGUAGGCAGCAGGCGCGCAAAUUACCCAAUCCCGACACGGGGAGGUAGUGACAAUAAAUACAAGCC